This 237-nucleotide unclassified non-coding RNA is filed under the name uncultured bacterium. Its description in RNAcentral is "contains 16S-23S intergenic spacer region". The record is from RNAcentral.
CCUCCAAACCCAUGUAUGAUGCUGCACCGCAAUCCUUUCCUCCAAACCCUCCCUGCCACAUAAUAACCAAGCCUUCAUCUUCUCCUUCCGCUCCAAACCUUCUUUUUUUCAUUCCCAUUCCCACUUUUUCUAUUUCUUCAAAUUUUCUCUCUUCCAUCUUCUUCUUCUCAAUCGUCAUGUUGCCACGUGGUUCGAAUCUCCACCGAGACCUUGGAAGUCUCGCCGCCGCCUCCGCCU